This 1346-nucleotide ribosomal RNA is filed under the name uncultured bacterium. RNAcentral describes it as "bacterial SSU rRNA". It matches the Rfam family "Bacterial small subunit ribosomal RNA", at positions 28 to 1381 of the family's 1533-position model. The record is from RNAcentral.
GACGAACGCUGGCGGCGUGCUUAACACAUGCAAGUCGAACGAUGAAGCCUAGCUUGCUAGGUGGAUUAGUGGCGAACGGGUGAGUAAUACGUGAGUGACCUACCUUUGACUCUGGGAUAAGCCUGGGAAACUGGGUCUAAUACCGGAUACGACCAAUCUCCGCAUGGGGUGUUGGUGGAAAGCGUUAUGGAGUGGUUUUAGAUGGGCUCACGGCCUAUCAGCUUGUUGGUGAGGUAAUGGCUUACCAAGGCGACGACGGGUAGCCGGCCUGAGAGGGUGACCGGCCACACUGGGACUGAGACACGGCCCAGACUCCUACGGGAGGCAGCAGUGGGGAAUAUUGCACAAUGGGCGCAAGCCUGAUGCAGCGACGCCGCGUGAGGGAUGACGGCCUUCGGGUUGUAAACCUCUGUUAGCAUCGAAGAAGCGAAAGUGACGGUAGGUGCAGAGAAAGCGCCGGCUAACUACGUGCCAGCAGCCGCGGUAAUACGUAGGGCGCGAGCGUUGUCCGGAAUUAUUGGGCGUAAAGAGCUUGUANGCGGUUGGUCGCGUCUGCUGUGAAGGCUGGGGCUUAACCCUGGUUUUGCAGUGGGUACGGGCUAACUAGAGUGCAGUAGGGGAGACUGGAAUUCCUGGUGUAGCGGUGGAAUGCGCAGAUAUCAGGAGGAACACCGAUGGCGAAGGCAGGUCUCUGGGCUGUAACUGACGCUGAGAAGCGAAAGCAUGGGGAGCGAACAGGAUUAGAUACCCUGGUAGUCCAUGCCGUAAACGUUGGGCACUAGGUGUGGGGGACAUUCCACGUUUUCCGCGCCGUAGCUAACGCAUUAAGUGCCCCGCCUGGGGAGUACGGCCGCAAGGCUAAAACUCAAAGAAAUUGACGGGGGCCCGCACAAGCGGCGGAGCAUGCGGAUUAAUUCGAUGCAACGCGAAGAACCUUACCAAGGCUUGACAUAUACUGGACUGCGUCAGAGAUGGCGUUUCCCUUCGGGGCUGGUAUACAGGUGGUGCAUGGUUGUCGUCAGCUCGUGUCGUGAGAUGUUGGGUUAAGUCCCGCAACGAGCGCAACCCUCGUUCUAUGUUGCCAGCACGUGAUGGUGGGGACUCAUAGGAGACUGCCGGGGUUAACUCGGAGGAAGGUGGGGAUGACGUCAAAUCAUCAUGCCCCUUAUGUCUUGGGCUUCACGCAUGCUACAAUGGCCGGUACAGAGGGUUGCGAUACUGUGAGGUGGAGCUAAUCCCUAAAAGCCGGUCUCAGUUCGGAUUGGGGUCUGCAACUCGACCCCAUGAAGUCGGAGUCGCUAGUAAUCGCAGAUCAGCAACGCUGCGGUGAAUACGUUCCCGGGCCU